AGGCAGCUCUGCCUCCAUCAUCCCCUACCGGCUCCCUCCUGCCCCACCAGGCCGGCACCAGGGACAGCUUCCCGCUCUGUGACAUCACCACCUCUGUGACACAGCUCUGUGAUGUCAUCUACCCUCUGUGAUGUCACCUGCUCAAGAUGGCUGCCACCCCUCCCCUGCCCGGGCCUGGACGCCUGGGGCCCCUYGCCCCUGCCCCAAGAACGAUCCGGAGCGGCCUUACCAAGAGUGCAUUUUAUUCUGUUUUAUGGUUUCUCUUUUUUUUCCUGGGGGAGGGAGGGGCAGGGCUGUUGCUGUAGCCAGGGGGGUCCUUCCCCCCUGCCCUCACACCCCUCCCCCCUGUGGGAGGGGGCAUGACCAGCCCCCCUGUGGGGGCAGGGCCUCCCCUCCCUGCCCCCUCCCCUCCACACAGCGCUCACCUCACAACGGGGCCAAAAGCACAAAAUUAAGAAAAGGAAGGAGGGGGAGGAAAACAAAACAAAAAAAUAAUGCAAACGAAACCAAAAAAUAUAUAUAUAUAUUUAUAGAGAUCCUUUGUCGUGCGUGCUCCACCCCGCCCCCCCCCCGCACGACAGCGCCUCGUGGUCCAGCAGCAGGCGGCCCCGCAGGCGCAGCAGGCUGUCCACACUGCUGCCCGACGGCCUGCGGGCGGCAGCGUCAGCCCCCGCAACCCCGCGCCGGGGCCCCGCUGCCCCCCGCCGCCCCCGCCGGUACCUGCUGUGGCUGCUGCCACCCCCCAUGUGGAAGGUGCCGCCCCGCUGCACGGCCAGGCGGGUGUACUGCACCCCCCGGUUCCCGCUCAGGCGGCUGGUGAAGGCUGCAGAGACACCCAGCAUCAGCAGGGGAUACGAAAGACGUGGCAAAGCCACCGGUGAUGUAGCAGAGCCAUGAGAGACACAGCAAGGACAUGAGGAACGUGGCAGAGCCAUAAGGGACACGAAGGAUGCGGCGGGACCAUGAGGGAUGCAAGGGACAUGGUGGGGCCAUGAGGAAGCCACAAGGGCCACAAGGGACAUGGUGGGGCCACAAGGGACAUGGCAGGGAUGCGCAGGAUGCGGCAGGGCCAAGAGGGAGCCACGAGGGCCACAAGAGAUGCAAGGGACAUGGUGGGACCACGAAGGCCGCGAGGAACGUGGCAGGGCCAUGAGGGAUGUGAGGGACGUGGCGGGGCCAUGAGGGAUGUGAGGGGGCCACAAGGGACAUGGCGGGGACGCAAAGGAGCCAUGAGGACUGCGGCGGGGCCACACGGGCCACAAGGGACAUGGUGGGGCCACGAGGGACGCGGGGGGGGGCCACGAGGGACGCGGGGAAUGUGGUAGGGCCAUGAGGGAUGUGGCGGGGUCGUAGUAGGGCCACAAGGGAUGCAGUGGGGGAUGCAUAGGGACACAGGCAGGUUCAGGUGGACGAGGGGAUGUGGAGAUACGUGGGGGGACGUGGGGGUCCCUCACUGGAGCCAUGAGAAAGGGCAGAAGGGACCCRUGGGGCAGGCGGGGAGGAGGGACCUGGGGGGCCUUACCGGGGCUGCGGAGGAUGGCGGAGAGGGCGGAGGUGCUGGAGUGGCCGAAGAGGCGCUCGUGCAUGAGCUGCCGCUGCCGGGCCUCCUGCUCGCGCCGCAGCGCCUGGGCCUCGGCGGCGAUGUCGGGCGGCAUCACGGCCAGCACGCUGUCCUCCAUGUCCUCCAGCACCGAGCGCCGCAGCUCUGACGGCAGCGUCUGGAUGAAGGUCACUGGGUCCAUGGGGGCCUCGGCCCCGGCCGCCUGCGCCAGCUCCCGCCGCUGCUGCUCCGCCCGCUGCUGCGCCAGCACCUGCCCCGC
This is a long non-coding RNA of Apteryx haastii (Great spotted kiwi), 1820 nucleotides long. Lineage: Eukaryota; Metazoa; Chordata; Aves; Apterygiformes; Apterygidae. The record is from Ensembl.